UUUUGUUAAGGCUAAACAAGUCAAUUCUAAAAAAAAAACUUGCAAUGAUUCCAACGAGGAGUGGUAUUCAAGCAAUUAUAACUUAGGCCUAUGGGCAUGAUAUAGUUUUUAAUAAAGGUUUGAAGGAAAGUAACUGUGACCAGACUAGGGAGCGGAAAAUUAUUUGGGCCUAGGGGCGCAAAAGUGCUAAAUCCGGCCCUGGCAAUCAUGUACGCGACAGGUCUGUCUCUUGUUUUACGUGUUUUUGUGUUUUUAUUGUGUUCGUGUGUGUGUACAGUUUAACGACGCCAAUUCAGGUGGAUGUAUGUAUAUCUGAGGAUGGCAUUUUGAUGCCAAAACAGCUGUAAUCUACAGAAACUUCAGAGCUGUGACGAGACAACUCCAAAAGAUGUAUGGAGGAGGACGCAGGGAGGUCCCCUAAAAUAUUUAAAAAAACUACAACAGCUGGAAAUGAAUGCUGCGUCAGUGGAAAGCACACUUGUGUUUUUCGGCAAGGGCCAGUAUCUUUAACGGCCCUUGCACAUAGUCUGUGCGCCAUGUCAAAAAGCAUUACCAGCAUAAAAAAAGCUAUACAGGAUAGCCACACUGAUAUUAUAAGGAGGCUUCCUGUAUCAGAAAACCCUGCAGCGACGGAACAACCUAGGGCUACUACUGCUGACCCGGAAGAAGAGGGAAGGGAAGAAGACAGUGUAGAUAUUUUUGAUAUGACAUUUCCCUUAAAAUCUAUGGAAGAUUUUAUAUUAUUUGAGGAAAAGUUGAAAGAUAAAAAUUUCAAGAAG
Molecule: long non-coding RNA, 779 nt
Organism: Macrosteles quadrilineatus (aster leafhopper)
Lineage: Eukaryota; Metazoa; Arthropoda; Insecta; Hemiptera; Cicadellidae
Exons: 3
Source: RefSeq, a predicted model, not a curated record